This 433-nucleotide ribosomal RNA is filed under the name uncultured bacterium. RNAcentral's name for it is "partial 16S ribosomal RNA". It matches the Rfam family "Bacterial small subunit ribosomal RNA", at positions 29 to 507 of the family's 1533-position model. The record is from RNAcentral.
AACGAACGCUGGCGGCAGGCCUAACACAUGCAAGUCGAGCGAGGACUUCGGUUCUAGCGGCGGACGGGUGAGUAACGCGUGGGAAUGUGCCCUUCUCUACGGAAUAGCCCUGGGAAACUGGGAGUAAUACCGUAUACGCCCUAUUGGGGAAAGAUUUAUCGGAGAAGGAUCAGCCCGCGUUGGAUUAGGUAGUUGGUGGGGUAAUGGUCUACCAAGCCGACGAUCCAUAGCUGGUUUGAGAGGAUGAUCAGCCACACUGGGACUGAGACACGGCCCAGACUCCUACGGGAGGCAGCAGUGGGGAAUCUUAGACAAUGGGGGCAACCCUGAUCUAGCCAUGCCGCGUGAGUGAUGAAGGCCUUAGGGUUGUAAAGCUCUUUCAGCUGGGAAGAUAAUGACGGUACCAGCAGAAGAAGCCCCGGCUAACUCCGUG